Molecule: long non-coding RNA, 221 nt
Filed under: Hordeum vulgare
Lineage: Eukaryota; Viridiplantae; Streptophyta; Magnoliopsida; Poales; Poaceae
Description: long non-coding RNA (HVUL_LNC006972)
Source: RNAcentral
CACGAAAAUAGAUACGAAAUAAUUCCCUAUUAGGACAACAUGCAAAUCUAGGCAUACGACAGAGCAAACCACUUCGAACAUGCAUGCAAGUUGCAAAAUAAUGUUCUACGCAAAAAACUAAUCAAGUUACAUAUUUAAAUCACCGCGAUCCGACGCACGGUUAAUUAUCUACGGGCGUUUGAAAAUCAGCUAUCUUCCUGAAAUUAAAGAAAAAUCACACG